UACGGAGGGGACUAGCGUUGUUCGGAAUUACUGGGCGUAAAGCGCACGUAGGCGGAUUUGUAAGUCAGGGGUGAAAUCCCGAGGCUCAACCUCGGAACUGCCUUUGAUACUGCAAAUCUCGAGUCCGGAAGAGGUGAGUGGAAUUCCUAGUGUAGAGGUGAAAUUCGUAGAUAUGAGGAAGAACACCAGUGGCGAAUGGGAGUCGCUGGUGCGGGACUGACGCUGAGGUGCGGGAGAGUGGGGAGCAAACAGG
RNAcentral lists this ribosomal RNA (253 nucleotides) under uncultured bacterium. Its description in RNAcentral is "partial 16S ribosomal RNA". It matches the Rfam family "Bacterial small subunit ribosomal RNA", at positions 524 to 776 of the family's 1533-position model. The record is from RNAcentral.